AUACGGAGGAUCCGAGCGUUAUCCGGAUUUAUUGGGUUUAAAGGGUGCGCAGGCGGCCAUUUAAGUCAGCGGUUAAAUCGUGGGGCUCAACCCCAUUCUGCCGUUGAUACUGGGUGGCUUGAUUGCGGUCGAGGUUGGCGGAAUUCGUUGUGUAGCGGUGAAAUGCAUAGAUAUGACGAAGAACACCGAUUGCGUAGGCAGCUGACCAGACCGCAAAUGACUCUCAUGCACGAAAGUGCGGGGAUCGAACAGGAUUAGAUACCCUGGUAGUCCGCACAGUAAACGAUGAAUACUUGUUUUCGGCGAUAUAAUGUCGGAGGCAAAGCGAAAGCGAUAAGUAUUCCACCUGGGGAGUACGCCGGCAACGGUGAAACUUAAAGGAAUUGGCGUGG
Molecule: ribosomal RNA, 392 nt
Filed under: uncultured bacterium
Lineage: Bacteria
Description: partial 16S ribosomal RNA
Rfam family: Bacterial small subunit ribosomal RNA
Source: RNAcentral